GACGAACGCUGGCGGCGUGCUUAACACAUGCAAGUCGAACGGAAAGGCCCUGCUUUUGUGGUGUGCUCGAGUGGCGAACGGGUGAGUAACACGUGAGUAACCUGCCCUUGACUUUGGGAUAACUUCAGGAAACUGGGGCUAAUACCGGAUAGGAGCUCCUGCUGCAUGGUGGGGGUUGGAAAGUUUCGGCGGUUGGGGCUGGACUCGCGGCUUAUCAGCUUGUUGGUGGGGUAGUGGCAUACCAAGGCUUUGACGGGUAGCCGGCCUGAGAGGGUGAACGGCCACAUGGGGACUGCGAUACGGACCAGACUGCUAUGGGAGGCAGCAGUGGGGAAUAUUGCACAAUGGGCGGAAGCCUGAUGAGGAAGCGCCGCGUUCGUGAUGACGGCCUUCGGGUUGUGAACCGCUUUCGCCUGUGACGAAGCGUGAGUGACGGUACUGGGUAAAGAAGCACCGGCUAACUACGUG
Molecule: ribosomal RNA, 468 nt
Filed under: uncultured bacterium
Lineage: Bacteria
Description: partial 16S ribosomal RNA
Rfam family: Bacterial small subunit ribosomal RNA
Source: RNAcentral